UUCCAUUUUCCUAAUACCAGACACAAACAAGAGAGAUGGCAAGGAUCUGCAGUGAGGACAUCGAGUGCAGUGGGCUGACCAUCCCGAAGGCUGUGCAGUACCUGAGCUCCCAGGAUGAGAAGUACCAGGCCAUUGGGGCCUAUUACAUCCAGCAUACCUGCUUCCAGGAUGAAUCUGCCAAGCAACAGGUCUAUCAGCUGGGAGGCAUCUGCAAGCUGGUGGACCUCCUCCGCAGCCCCAACCAGAACGUCCAGCAGGCCGCGGCAGGGGCUCUGCGCAACCUGGUGUUCAGGAGCACCACCAACAAGCUGGAGACCCGGAGGCAGAAUGGGAUCCGCGAGGCAGUCAGCCUCCUGAGGAGAACCGGGAACGCCGAGAUCCAGAAGCAGCUGACUGGGCUGCUCUGGAACCUGUCUUCCACUGACGAGCUGAAGGAGGAGCUCAUUGCCGACGCCCUGCCUGUUCUGGCCGACCGCGUCAUCAUUCCCUUCUCUGGCUGGUGCGAUGGCAAUAGCAACAUGUCCCGGGAAGUGGUGGACCCUGAGGUCUUCUUCAAUGCCACAGGCUGCUUGAGAAAGAGACUGGGCAUGCGGGAGCUUCUGGUUCUUGUUCCGCAAAGGGCCACUAGUAGCAGGGUGUGAGCCUUGGGAUGCAGCUGCAGAGGGACCAUUGCCACGUGGAGCCAUUGCCAGUUAUAAAGUUACUGGGCAGAGUGAAGGAGGAGAAGAACUGAGUGCAAAUGAGACCUCAUUUCAGCCUCAGCCAGGGCCAGGCGGAAUUGGCUAAAUGGUUUCUCUUUCCUUCCUUUUUCAUCUUUUCCUCUCUUCAUUCCUUUCCUCCCUUUCCUCUUCUCCUUCCUUCCUUCUACCACAACUUCCAAUCUCCACCCCGUCGUCUCCUCUCUGCCCUCCCCUCUCCUGCCUGUUCUCUC
Molecule: small RNA, 931 nt
Filed under: Pan troglodytes (chimpanzee)
Lineage: Eukaryota; Metazoa; Chordata; Mammalia; Primates; Hominidae
Description: processed transcript
Source: RNAcentral